This 468-nucleotide ribosomal RNA is filed under the name uncultured bacterium. RNAcentral describes it as "partial 16S ribosomal RNA". It matches the Rfam family "Bacterial small subunit ribosomal RNA", at positions 28 to 507 of the family's 1533-position model. The record is from RNAcentral.
GACGAACGCUGGCGGCGUGCUUAACACAUGCAAGUCGAACGGAAGGGCGCUGCGCUUGCGGGGUGCUCGUUUGGGGAACGGGGGAGUAACACGUGAGUAACCUGCCCUUGACUGAGGGGGAUAAUCAGGAAACAGGGGCGAUUACAGGAUAGGAGCUUCUGCAGCGCGGGGGGGGUUGGUGAGAGUCGGCGGUGGGGGCUGGUCUCGAGGGUUAUGCGCUGGUUUGUGGGGUAGUUGAUGACGAAGGCUUCGACGGGUAGCCGGCCUGGGAGGGUGGCCGGCCACCUUGGGACUGCGGUACGGCCCAGACUCGUACGGGAGGCAGCAGUGGGGAAUCUUGCGGAGUGGGGGGAAGCGUGAUGCGGCAGCGCCGCGUUCGGGAUGACGGCUUUCGGGUUGUAAACCGCUUUCGCCUGUGACGAAGCGUGAGUGACGGUAAUGGGUAAAGAAGCACCGGCUAACUACGUG